RNAcentral lists this long non-coding RNA (482 nucleotides) under Cyanistes caeruleus (blue tit). RNAcentral describes it as "lncRNA (ENSCCEG00000003437.1)". Lineage: Eukaryota; Metazoa; Chordata; Aves; Passeriformes; Paridae. The record is from RNAcentral.
CGGUGAUGGUCAGUCCUCCAGUGGUCACUCUGGUGAUGGUCAGUCCAGUGGUCACUCUGGUGAUGGUCAGUCCAGUGGUCACUCUGGUGGUCACUCUAGUGGUCACCCUAGUGGUCAUUCCAGUGGUGGUCAGUCCACUGGUGGUCACUCUAGUGGUCACUGUGGUGGUGGUCACUCUAGUGGUGGUCACUCCGGUGGUCACUCCGGUGGUCACUCUGGUGGUCACUCUGGUGGUGGUCACUCCGGUGGUCACUCCAGUGGUCACUCUGGUGGUGGUCAGUCCCCGCCGGACGCGGGGGGUGGUGGGAAAUAAACGCCGGCCUGAGCCCGGCUACGGCCACUGGGUGGUCAGUGGUCAUUCAAGGGGUCACUGGGUGGUCAGUGGUCACUCAAGGGGUCACUGGGUGGUCAGUGGUCAUUCAAGGGGUGGUCAGUGGUCACUCAAGGGGUCACUGGGUGGUCAGUGGUCACUCAAGGGGUCA